UAUUAUUAUCAUUAAUAUAUUACUGUACCUAAUAUAUAUAUUAAGCUUUAUCAUAGGCGGGUGUGUGUAGGAAGAGACAUAGUAUGGUCAUGUCUUACCUGAUGGGGGUUGAUAACAGAAGUUGAGGUCAUUUUCUGAAAAGAUAAGCUUUAUUUUACAUCAGGCUCAUGGAAUGAGUACUGGUGGAUACAAUUUUUCCUUUCCUUCCUCAUUGUCACUGUAAGGUCUGACAGGCAACUUUGGACCACAUCCAGUCUUGUUGAGGUGCCCGAGCUUCUAUCUAGGUUACUGUCUCUUGGAUUGCUCAUUCUGGGGGAAAACAGCUGCCGUGUGGUGAGGAAAGAUAGACACAAUGAAGAACUGAACCAAAAACCAUGUGAGUGAGUCAUCUUGGAGCAGCUCCUUGGCAUCAUUCAAGGCUUGACAUGAUGGCAGCUCCAGAUGACAUUGACUGCAACAUCAUAAGAGAUCCUAACCAGAUCUACCCUGCUAACCUGUUCCUGGAUCUGACCUUUGGGAACUGUGUGAGAUAAUAAAUACUGCUUUAACUGCUAA
This is a long non-coding RNA of Leopardus geoffroyi (Geoffroy's cat), 555 nucleotides long. RefSeq lists it as uncharacterized. NCBI's taxonomy places the organism in Eukaryota, Metazoa, Chordata, Mammalia, Carnivora, Felidae. The record is from RefSeq and is a predicted model, not a curated record. The transcript has 2 exons.